UUGAAAAAAAACGGCGGCAAAAAUGUCCUAAAUGCUCCUAAUCUAGUGAAAAAAUUAGCAUUAUAAAAAAUUAUACCAAAACCACAAAUACCCCAUAAUUGACUGAAACUCUCCAACAACCAAUGAUUAUAGUUAUCUCCUAAUUUUUCAUACCAACACAAUCAAAUCAAUUAAAACUCAUCUUCAACUUCGUCCUCUUCAAACCCUUCAAGCUCUUCAUACAUUCCGCGCGUGGCAGGGAAGUAUUGAUCAGGUUUUUGUUUCUUCCGAAGGAGCUUCAAAACCUUCUUCAUUAAAAUGAUUCCAGCUUCGUCCUCGGUAGAAAAAAGGUCUAUUUUCCUAGUGCUUAGUGAAAUUGAUGCUUAAUAACACGCCAAUACUUUUUGAUUGUGACAUGUAAAAGAACAACGGUAAAUCGUUCCCUAUUAUCGCAAAUCACGUUCAUUAUUGUUAUAUAUACACUUGUGAAUCUAAAUUGUUUAUUA
Long non-coding RNA from Cucumis sativus (cucumber), 485 nucleotides. RefSeq lists it as uncharacterized. Lineage: Eukaryota; Viridiplantae; Streptophyta; Magnoliopsida; Cucurbitales; Cucurbitaceae. The transcript is spliced from 2 exons. The record is from RefSeq and is a predicted model, not a curated record.